Long non-coding RNA from Brassica napus (rape), 3740 nucleotides. RefSeq lists it as uncharacterized. Lineage: Eukaryota; Viridiplantae; Streptophyta; Magnoliopsida; Brassicales; Brassicaceae. The record is from RefSeq and is a predicted model, not a curated record. The transcript is spliced from 3 exons.
GUUUUUAUGUAUAGUAUGUUCAUGUCAAACUCAACAUAAACUUGAGUCUCGGGAUGGGCUAUUGCUGUAUUGAUUAUUAGAUAUUUACAGCACAGACACAAGAGCAAGAUUGUUCAAAUUGUCGUAGUGGCAUGCAUCAAAUGAAUUCUCCAAACAAAGAGCAUAAUAUUAUGCAAACUUAGUAAUUAGGGACCCUAGUAAUUAUUUAGGGUAAUUAUAACAGGUUACGUUAGACCGUAUGAAAAGGGUUAGUUCUAAGCCCAAAAAUUCCAAAAUAAUAAAUUACUAGAUUUUGACCCGCACACCCAUGCGGGUGUUAGUUUAACUUAUAUAUAUGAUUCUGUUCUAGCUUUGUUGAAGAACAUUUCUUUUAGCUUUAUUCAGAUUGUAAAAGAACAUUCACAAUUACCUCGUGAGAUCCAUUUAAAAUUUCUUCUUCUUACUAAAAAAAACUUUGAUUUUGGUGCAAGUAAUUAGCUAUUUUUAAUCAUGUCCCUAUGUGAUUCUGCUAACUAAAGAGUUCCAUAACAUAAUUUGUGUGUUUCACACUGUUAAAACUGUUUUUAGGAUUAAAAUGACUUCAGUUUAGUAUCAUUUGUCUCUGAUCUUGGGUCGAUUAAUUUUGAUGUUGUUUUGUUUGAUUAGUUGGGUGAUCAUUGCAUCCAAGUUCACUGAUAAGAGCAGAAGGCAACAUAUAAGAAACUGUGGUUAAACUCUAUUUAAGAUCAUCGUUUCUGGGUUUUGGUUUAUCCAAUAAUGGGUUCUAAUUUUCGAAAUGGUAUUAUAUACUUAAACUCUGAUUUCAAGAGAGAGGUUGGUUCCCUGAAGAAAAUACACUUUUGUGUGAGGUUAGACAUUUUUUUAUUACAUAAAUGAAGAGAUUAUAAAGUUUUCUUUUGUGUGUGUUUGGUUUUAUAGACACAAAGAUUGGUAAAGAACAUAUUGAAUGAGAUAGAAAAAGGGGUCUCAUGUAACCUAGCGAAUUUUUUUUUGUAAUGGUGAACGGAGUGCUAAAACUAAGAAGAAGAUGGUAAAAUAUGUUUGCCUAACAAACAAAAGUGUUUUUUUAUUGCGUGUUGAAAAUAAAAUAGAAGGUAAGAGAUGUAUAUCUAACCUAUACUAAAAGCAAGAUAUCAAGCCCUUUAAACGCAUCCACAUCAGCUGAAAAAAUCAGUCAAUUAGAGAUCCUUAACUAGCCAUGUCAUUUAGGUUAAAAUAUUGAAACAAUAUUGACUUCAAUUGUAUUCACUAAGAACUUGAUCGAUUGGUUUUACUUCGUCUUUAUGUUCUCUGGAAAACGUUUUGGUAGUGAUCGUAAUAAGCACAAGUUUCAGCCAAAACGUUUUGCCUCAACACAAUCAGUCUCCGAUUUCCCUCCUCUCUUACUAGCCGCUGAUGCCGCCUUUCAGAUCUCCAAUAACCCUAAAACCACCACCAAAAAACAUAAACAUAAGCCGCUUCAAAAACCAGGCCAUACUGCGUUAAGACUGAUUUCCCUACAAUGUUCCAUCUCUUCUCUCCUCAUACAUCUCCACCAACCGCUUUGACUAUGUCCUUUCUCCACUGGUUUGUUUCUGAUCGAUUCUCACAUUUGUGUAUAAUAUUUUCUUUGGAUAUGGCGCUUCAGUGUUUUAUAUAUCUAAUGAAGUUUUUUUUCUCGCUCUCUGUGAAAUGUUGGUAUGCAGAUGGCCCUUCGUAUAGGCCGAUCUUAGUGGAAAGAAACGGACACUCAGGUUCUACCAGUCUCUGACUCUGAAUUACUCUUACAGGUUGUUUUGAGUUUCUUGCUUUUUGUUAAUUUUUUUUCAAGAUUAGUCUUUUAUGUACAAGAGAAUCUUCAAUUAAGCUCUAACUUUCUAUUCCUUCUUUCUUUCUUUAGUUUUGUUUAAUGUGAUUCUACUAUGAAGUUAUUGAGGGCUCCGCUGGUUAACUCUGAUGGUGAUUCAAAGGAUGCUUUCCCAAAUAAUCUGGUAAGACGUAGGACCAAAAUUGAUGCAAUGAAUUGAUUUUUAACCUCUAGCCAUUAAUUUUCAUCGCCUUUGCUGAAUUUCAGGUUUAUGUGCUUAACGGCUGCGUUUUCUGUUUUGCCGUAGGUGUUCUCCAUGUGAUGUUGAAGCGUGGGUUUGCUUUCAGUGUCUACAAUAUGAACAUCCUCUUGGAGGGUUUAUGCAAGAAUCUGGAAUACGGCAAAACCGUUACUUUGCUUCGUGAGGUAAAGUUUGAGUUCUCCGCCUGAUGCUGUUAGCUACAGCUAUGUUAUAAGAGGCUUAUGCGAGGGGAAAUAGUUGUAGAAAGCAUUGGAAUUGUCGAAUGAUAUGCAAGGCAUCCAUAAUAAGCACUGAUAUAAGUGUAUCACCCUUUCACCACAUCGUAAUAAACUCAAUUUUGAACUCAUGUUAUUAUUCACAAAUUAGUCUAAUUUGGGUCUGCAGUCGUUUUUAACAAAUGCUCAGAGGUUCUAUGAUGUCAUGUUAGUACAUAGGAUUGCAGUUUGUUGGCGUUUUUGGGCUCUUUUAACCAUUGCUAGGUUUGAGUUUAAUUUUAUUUUUUAUUAGAUAAGAGUUUGUAAAAUGCAGAUGGAGAAUACAUUUUAUGCAUUGAAUAACAGUAUAAACACAAAAGCAUAUGAUAAUUUUGACACAUAAUCUUUCUUGCAACAUGCCAUCAAUUUUGCUGCAAAACAUUGGGGUCUUCAGUGCCUUUUACGAGAUAAGUGAGUCAUAUUCUGCUCGACUCUUUGGCUGACUUCACUUGCUUGCCUGUUUCUAAGUAUGUUGUGUAGCCAGGGGAUAUCAUGCCUCCUCACUGUUACUAUGGAAUGCAAGCUGAAGCUAAACGUAGAAAUAGAGGCCCCGACACUUGAGUCUGAAGCUUGAAUAGGGGAACACCAAACCCAUUUCAACAUCGCAGGUAUUAAGAAAAGUUCUGCAAACUUGGUAUCAGAAGCUGCAAAGUGUUCCAACAAUGGAUUCAAUACAAUAGAGCACAUUGGUAGACUUCUACUCUUCAGUGAUCUCUUAAGUUUUCAGAGGUUCAAAGAGUUCUAUGCUUCAACCACUAUCUCCACUGAGGAUGAACCUUACAAAGGUCUUAGUAAUCUGGUAAAGUGCUCCAAUCUCUUUAAUAAUGUUGUUUAUAUUUUUAUUUCUUCCUCAUAACUUCAAUUGAUCUUGCCGUGCAAUGAAUGCAUGACAAUACAUGAGUGUUUUCAGUGACUUACGGUCCUACAAGCAAAUGACAGUUUUCUUGAUAAUAAACGAAAUCUUAACAUUUGAGGUCUAUAUGUUUAUCUUUUGCUAAGUUUUUUUUGGUUUUUUUUUUGUUGUGACUGGACUGGUUUGGUUAGUUAGCCCCUACAGGAGACUUAUUUUCUUACUUGGAUGAUCUGGCAAAUUCAUUGGAUAUUCAGGCUUACAUAAGAGAGUGUGUUUGGACAGCCGGAAAUUGAUUUCCCAUCCCAACAGUGUGUUUGGACAGCCGGAAAUUGAUUUCCCAUCCCAACACCGUCUAGCUAGCUAGCAUCAAUAGCGUAUGACACCGUUAGAUUGCCACUAAAAGCAAAUCCACAAAAAAAUGAUUCAUCUCCUUACCACUUCGGUUUUCUCCUUGUGAAAUUAAUAGAAUUUUCUCAUAUGUAUUCACCCUCUUAAUGUUUUGUGGUUUUUUGGAAUGUUUGUGUUUAAGUAAAAAUAAGAAUUUCGUUUCAGCAAUUCAAAUAAUAUGUCUAUGGUUUUAUAUCA